This is a long non-coding RNA of Engraulis encrasicolus (European anchovy), 625 nucleotides long. RefSeq lists it as uncharacterized. The transcript has 2 exons. The record is from RefSeq and is a predicted model, not a curated record. Lineage: Eukaryota; Metazoa; Chordata; Actinopteri; Clupeiformes; Engraulidae.
UGAGCGCUUUCUCCAGUGCGUCAGUUUGGAGGGAGGCGUGGGAGGGAGGGGAGAGGUGUGUCCCAAGGGGGAGUGGGGGCGGGACCAAGCUCAUGUGGGUGGUGGCGACGAAGCUGUGUUUGUUUGUUAGCUGCUAACUGGUAGCUAUAGCUCUUCACAACGGCACGUCAAGCAACAGGGGGAAUUGACGCAUUUGACCCGAAGAUGAAACAUGUAGAGAGCUACCUGCUCAUGGACUUCAGCGCAGGACGUCUCCGAAGGCUGCUUCAAGUCCAACAGUGAUUCCCGUGUUGUCGUGCAUAUCCAUGCUGAGUUCCUUGAUGACGAAGGACACUACACCGGGGAUUCAGACUGCAGUACGCAUGAACCUCAACACAAGGCUUGCUGUGACCUCUUUAUCUGGCUGGCUCGUCUGUGAACUGCACCAACGCCAACAUUGCCUCAGUCUGCUUUGCAGGGUUCCCAAAGACCUUGUCCAGAAUGAGUUCCACGAACAUGAACAUAACCUUUUCACACAAAACAUACAGAAAAAAGCACACAUAUUGUUUAGAAUUCUAAUUCUCCUAUUUUGUAGACUUAAUGUGCUAUUGAAGUAACGCCAAUAAAAAAUGUUAUGUCAAAUUGA